UCAGGACGAACGCUGGCGGCGUGCUUCAUACAUGCAAGUCGAACGAGAAUCUGGCUUCGGUCAGAGGAAAGUGGCGGACGGGUGAGUAAUGUGUAGAGAAUCUGCCCUUAGUGGGGGACAACAGUUGGAAACGACUGCUAAUACCCCAUAUGCGCGUAGCUGAGAUGCUAUUCGUGAAAACUCCGGUGCUAAAGGAUGAGUCUGCAUCUGAUUAGCUAGUUGGCGGUGUAAUGGACCACCAAGGCGACGAUCAGUAGCUGGUUUGAGAGGAUGAUCAGCCACAAUGGGACUGAGACACGGCCCAUACUCCUACGGGAGGCAGCAGUAGGGAAUUUUGCGCAAUGGGGGAAACCCUGACGCAAGCAACGCCGCGUGAUUGAAUAAGCCCUUCGGGGUGUAAAGAUCUGUCAGUGGGGACGAAACUUGACGGUACCCACAGAGGAAGCAUCGGCUAACUCCGUGCCAGCCGCUGC
RNAcentral lists this ribosomal RNA (473 nucleotides) under uncultured bacterium. RNAcentral's name for it is "bacterial SSU rRNA". It matches the Rfam family "Bacterial small subunit ribosomal RNA", at positions 24 to 518 of the family's 1533-position model. The record is from RNAcentral.